RNAcentral lists this transfer RNA (83 nucleotides) under Endomicrobium sp. Its description in RNAcentral is "tRNA-Leu". It matches the Rfam family "tRNA". Rfam says of the family: Transfer RNA (tRNA) molecules are approximately 80 nucleotides in length. Their secondary structure includes four short double-helical elements and three loops (D, anti-codon, and T loops). Lineage: Bacteria; Pseudomonadati; Elusimicrobiota; Endomicrobiia; Endomicrobiales; Endomicrobiaceae. The record is from RNAcentral.
GCUGGGGUGGCGGAAUUGGCAUACGCGCACGUUUGAGGGGCGUGUCCUUACCCGGGAUGCGGGUUCAAGUCCCGCCCUCAGCA